RNAcentral lists this ribosomal RNA (247 nucleotides) under uncultured bacterium. RNAcentral describes it as "partial 16S ribosomal RNA". It matches the Rfam family "Bacterial small subunit ribosomal RNA", at positions 523 to 769 of the family's 1533-position model. The record is from RNAcentral.
AUACGGAAGGUGCAAGCGUUAAUCGGAAUCACUGGGCGUAAAGCGCUCGUAGGUGGCUUUGUAAGUCAGGUGUGAAAGCCCACGGCUCAACCGUGGAACUGCGUUCGAAACUGGGAGGCUUGAGUCCUGGAGAGGGUGGCGGAAUUCCGGGUGUAGGAGUGAAAUCCGUAGAUAUUCGGAGGAACACCAGUGGCGAAGGCGGCUUACUGGUCCAUUACUGACGCUGAGGUGCGAAAGCGUGGGGAGC